GACGGGGGAUGCAAGCGUUAUCCGGAAUCACUGGGCGUAAAGCGUCUGUAGGUGGUGAUGCAAGUCACUGGUGCAAAACUCUGGCUCAACCGGAGGAAAGCCAGUGAAACUGCAUGACUAGAGUGUGGGAGAGGUAGAAGGAAUUCCCUGAGUAGCGGUGAAAUGCGUAGAUACAGGGAAGAACACCGGAGGCGAAAGCGUACUACUGGAACACAAAUGACACUGAGCGACGAAAGCUAGGGGAGCGAAUGGG
RNAcentral lists this ribosomal RNA (253 nucleotides) under uncultured bacterium. RNAcentral describes it as "partial 16S ribosomal RNA". It matches the Rfam family "Bacterial small subunit ribosomal RNA", at positions 524 to 776 of the family's 1533-position model. The record is from RNAcentral.